AGAAUAUGCAGACAAUAAUAAU
This 22-nucleotide small nuclear RNA is filed under the name Arabidopsis thaliana (thale cress). RNAcentral's name for it is "snRNA_03553". The record is from RNAcentral. Lineage: Eukaryota; Viridiplantae; Streptophyta; Magnoliopsida; Brassicales; Brassicaceae.